Molecule: long non-coding RNA, 13115 nt
Filed under: Homo sapiens (human)
Lineage: Eukaryota; Metazoa; Chordata; Mammalia; Primates; Hominidae
Description: non-protein coding lnc-CLCNKB-1:4
Source: RNAcentral
ACUCGCGGCCCCUAACCUGCCCCGGGAGCCCGGGAGUGCGGCUUGGGAAGGAGGGAAAGGAGUGUGUGAGCAGGGAUUGGCCCGAACCUAUCUCCACGCUCUCCCCCGGGACUGGAGGUGAAGGGGGGCGUGGAGAAAAUCUCAGGGAACAGGGGCUUCGACAGGGGGCUCCCGCCCGCCCGAGCCCCCUCCCCAAAAUGCGAGGCCUGCACAGUAUGCCUUCUCCGCAAAACCUCGGCAAGCGGGUUAGUGAAUUCAGGUCACUAAGAAGCUGAGCCCGCGGAAAGCUGCCCAAACACCCCCUUCUCUAGGGGACUCCCCACGCCCCCCGCCGGGACGCGUUCCCGAAGUCGCCGCCUGGACUGCAACCGCGUGGCCUGCGCCGCGUCCUCUUCUCCGCAGCCUCCGAGGCCCGUGCGACCAAGCUGAAACCGCUUAUUCUCCGGAGCCCCUAUGACCCCGGGUGGGGGCCAGGGCUCGCCUCGAUCGCAGCCCGUGCGCCCUCCGGACUCCAGUUCGCCGGGACUGGGCGACACCAGAAGCGGCUAGUGUGAGUGAAACAAACGGGAAAUUUGCUCUGGCCCGCCUGCCCAGCCACCCACGGCUGCCUGUUGGCCAAUCACCAUUUGACCAGUCCAGGAAGAGCAACUGUGGCAGGCCUGAUUUCCUGGGAGGCCCCAGACUCCCUUUGCCUACCUCUUCCUCUCUGACCCCAUCCUCGCUUUGAUGCCCGGGACCUGCUACCCAGGUACGUGGGUCUUCUCUGCCGGAUGUGGACAUCUUGGCCUCUCGCCUUGGUGCCUACUCUUGGGAAGCGGGUCCAGACAUCUCUCCUGCAGGAAGAGAGGAAGGGUUAAUUACAGGCGUUGGGGAUAAUUAAAGCCUUUGACCAAGAGGAUGGGAGGAGAGCCUUGGUCCUCUGAGAGCCUGUGAGUGUGCAAGUGCCUGUGAGAAUAAGUGCAUGUGUAUGAGGGUGUGAGAUUUUGUUGAAUGUGCAUUCGUGUGUAUAGACAUGAGAGUGUUGAUGUAUGUAUGACUGUGUGUGAGUGUGUGUAUGGACAUAAGUGUUGUAUGUGACUGGGCAGGGUGGCUCAGGCCUGUAAUUCCAGCACUUUGGGAGGCCGAGGCAGGCAGAUCAUUUGAGGUCAGGAGCUCCAGACAUGCCUGGCCAACAUGGUGAAACCCCGUCUCUACUAAAAAUACAAAAAAAUUAGCUGGGCGUGGUGCCACUCACCUGUAAUCCCAUCUACUAAGGAGGCUAAGGCAGGAGAAUCACUUGAACCCCAGAGGCAGAGAUUGCAGUGAGCCGAGAUUGCGCCACUCACUGCACUCCAGCCUGGGCCAGCAAGACUCUGUCUCAAAAAAAAAAAGAAAAAAGUGUUGGUAUAUGUGUGUAUAAGUGUGUGUGCAUGGGCAUGAGAGGAUUUGGGUAUGAGUGUGUGUCUGUGUGUGUUUUUGUGGAUUGUGUGGAUGUGUCUAGAUGUGUGUAUGAGUGUGCAUGUGGGUGUGAGAGAUUUGUGUAUGAGUGCAUGUGAGUGUGGAUUUGUGUAUGCAUGUAUUUGUGAGUGUGCCAUACUUCACAGUAGAUGUGGAGUCAGCCCAUGAGUUUCUGAACAAGUUAUUUCACUUUUCUGAGCCUCAGUUUGCUCCUGGAAAGAUGUAAAGCCUAUUUAGGAGAGUUACUGUAAAGAUCAAAUAAAGUCAUGCAUGUAAACCACAGGGGCCAGGACUACAGAAAGCACGCAUGAAAUCUCAGCUGUUACUGGGUUACAUGCGGUUCAGCAACAGGAAGCCACAUCCGUGGAGAGCAGGGCAUGUGUUGUGCCCAGGGCUCUGUGGACAGGCACAUGGGGUGUGUGGAUGAGUGUGAGCAUGUGUGUAGUACGUGGUUUGGAUAAGUGUUUUGCAUGUUGUAUUGGAGCCUCUGGGCUAGGGACACUGGCGUGUGUAAGACUCCAUGUGAGUUGUGUGGAAGCCACUGCUUGUACAUGUGUGUUACAUGCCACUUGCAGGCUCCAUCUGUCAGAUGUGUCACUAGAGGACACACUGCAGGAGGACAGGGAUGUUUGUAGAAAACAGACAGUGCCUGGGCCAGGCGCGGUGGCUCACGCCUGUAAUCCCAGCACUUUGGGAGGCCGAGGCAGAUAGAUCACUUGAGGUCAGGAGUUUGAGACCAAGCUUGUCAUCAUGGUGAAACCCCGUCUCUACUAAAAAUACAAAAAUUAGCCGGGCGUGGUGGCGCAUGCCCGUAAUCCCAGCUGCUCGAGUUGGAGGCAGGAAAGUCGCUUGAACCCAGGAGGUGGAGGUUGCAGUGAGCCGAGACCGCGGCACUGCACUCCAGCCUGGGUGACAGAGCGAGAGCCAAAAACAAAAAAAGAAAACAGACAGUGCCUGAUACAUACUAGAUAUUCAGCAAGCCUCCGCUGAAUGAAUGAACUAAUGAGUGAAUGACAGUGUUGCGAGUUCUGUGUUGCGUGAAAGUCUCUGUGUGUAGUGUUGGUUGGUCCUUCUGGUGGCAAGUGUGGGUUUCCAUGUGUGGCCUCAAAAGGUUGAAUCCAAGCACACACACGGCAGGGGUGCAGGCAGGCCCUGAUGGCUGUGGGGCGUGUGCCCAGCAGUAUGUGCACAAGUUGGGGGCUGAGAGCAUAGGGCAGGGUGUUGCUCAUCUGCAGCAUGUGACGUGAACAGAGGCCUAUGGAAAGGAGUGGUAUGUCAGGUGGUGGCAAGAGGGUGUUCCACCUGGCUUUUCCCUGGCUUUUAGUCACCCAUUUAAUGACACACCCUUCCCUCUUUUCCUGUCCGACUCAGAGUCUUUCCCGCUCUAGGUGACUGGGUGCUAAGGAGGAAAGUUCUUCAGUGAGUCUUAUAAAGCGGCACCAAAACGCGGUAUUUAUAGUGACAUAAUCAGCCCUAAUGGAGAUGGAAUUACCCCAUAAAGGCCCCAAGGAGCCCUCAGGGCCUCAGCGCCACUGCAGCAGACAAGGCUCCUGUACAGGCAGGUGGAGCCCGAGUGAGUGUGUGUUUGUGUGUGACUGCCUCUCCUGCCAAUCCCUGCCUCCGGCCCACCAGCCUGCUUAGGGGCCCACCUUUGCUAGGACUUAGCUGGGGCUGGGUACUGGGGGCAAGGAGAUGACAAAGGUGAAUGCUGAAGCCAUGGCCUCACUUACCCCACCUUUGAUCUGUGCCUGCCUUUGGCCAAGAGCAUCAGAAAAAAAAUAAUGCGGCCUGGGCAAUACAGUGAGACCCCAUCUCUACAAAAGAAAAAAGAAAAAAAAUUAGCUGGGCAUGGUGGUGAGCACCCGUGGCCUCAGCUACUCGGGCGGCUGAGGAAGGAGGAUUGCUUGAGCCUAGGAGGUCAAGGCUGCAAUGAGCCGUGAUUGCACCACUGCACUCCAGCCUAGGCAACCAAGUGAGACCCUGUUUCAAAACAAAAUUUUUUUAAAAAAAGAAAAGCAAAGAAAAAAACUGUAGCCAAUACUUAUGAAGCACUACUAUGUGCCGGGCCCAGUUCUAGGCACUUAUCUGUACUGAUCCACUUAGUUCUCAUGACACCUUCAGGGAGGUGGCCACUGCUCCUGCCCACAUUUUGCAGAAGAGCAAAUUUGGAAGUAAAAUUUGGAGCUGGCAUUCUGGCCCAGACAGGCUAGAUCCAGCGCGCACUCUCAUGGGUACCUGCCUCAACCAUUGCCUCUGAAUUCCACUGAACCUGGAGAGCAGUGCCCCGUCCUGGAAUGUGCCAACUCUCCGCAGCUGGGAUCUUUAAGGUCAGUCUAAUUACUACCUCUUGGGUGAAACCCCCAGGGAUCAGGCCCCCCCUAGAGCCCCAGGGGCCUCCAUGCUACAUGCCUACCAGCACCCUGCUCUCAACCAACUGAACUCUUUUUUGUUUUUCAAAGCCUCUGAACUAUCUUCUCAACUAGACUGUAAAUCCCUCAGAGGCAGGGUAUGAAUCCAGCAACAGGUAGAACAGUUCCCCACACAUUCUGCUCAAUAGAUGCUAAUUUUUUUUUUUUUUUUUUUUUUGAGACAGAGUCUUGCUCUGUCCCCCAGGCUGGAGUGCAGUGGCGCAAUCUCAGCUCACUGCAACCUCCACCUCCCGGGUUCAAGUGAUUCUCCUGCCUCAGCCUCCUGAGUAUCUGGGAUUACAGGUGCACGCCACCACACCUGGCUAAUUUUUGUAUUUUUAGUAGAGACAGGGUUUCACCAUGUUGGUCAGGCUGGUCUUGAACUCCUGACCUCAUGAUCCGCCCUCCUCGGCCUCCUAAAGUGCUGGGAUUACAGGCGUAAGCCACUGUGCUUGGCCUUAGAUGCUCACAUUUGAUGGUGACAUUCUAAAUUAGUUUCCUCCAUUCAUUUCCUUUUUUUUUAGACGGAGUCUUGCUCUGUCACCGAGGCUGGAAUGCAGUGGCGCAACCUCGGCUCACUGCAACCUCCACCUCCCGGGUUCAAGGGAUUCUCCUGCCUCAGCUUCCCUAGUUGCUGGGAUUACAGGCACACACCACCAUGCACAGUUCAUUUUUGUAUUUUUUAGUGGAGAUGGGGUUUCACCACGUUGGCCAGGCUGGUCUUGAACCUCUGACCUCAAGUGAUCCUCCCACCUCGGCCUCCCAAAGUGCUGGGAUUACAGGCGUGAGCCAGCACGCCCAGCCCCCUCCAUUCAUUUCUUUUUUUUAUUUUUUAUUUAUUUAUUUUUUAGACAGAGUCUCCUUCUGUUGCCAGGCUGGAGUGCAGAGGUUCGAUCUCGGCUCACUGCAACCUCCACCUCCUGGGUUCAAGUGAUUCUCCUGCCUCAGCCUCCCGAGUAGCUGGGACUACAGGCACGCGGCACCACGCCCAGAUUUUUGUAUUUUUAGUAGAGACGGGGUUUCAGCAUGUUAGCCAGGAUGGUCUCCAUCACCCUCCCAAAGUGCUGGGAUUACAGGCGUGAGCCACCACACCCAGACCCCUCUGUUCAUUUCAAUCCACAUUUCUUGAAGGCCUGCUCUAUGCCAGGCCACUUCACCUCUGUAAACUCAUUUAAUCCUCUCUAGCCCUGGAAGGAAAAGCUAAUAUUGCCUCCAUUUUUGCAGAAACAACGUGAGGCUCAGAGAGAAGAAAUGACUAAAAUUACACAGCUGGUACAUGGCAGAGGUGGAACUAAAAAGUUAAGUGUGUCUACCCCAGAGCCGAGUAGACCUGCUCUUUUUUGAACACUUCCUGGACUUUCAUGCCUUUGUCCCAGCUGUGCCCUCUCCCUGGAUGCCCCUUCCAUCUGGGCAGCUCCUACUAGACCUGCCUUGGCAUACAUAACACAGGAGAACGGAUUGCCAAAGGGUAGGAGAGUGCCUGGUCUAUAGUGUGCGCCCAACACAGAUUUGGUGAAUGAAUGAACACUGGGUCCAGCAGACCUGGAUUCUUCCAUGUAACCCACUGUGUGGCCUUGGUGGAGCCAUGCGGGUGCAAUAAUCCUGGUUUCCACCCUUCAGGGCUGCUGCUGGGACUCAGUGAGAUCAUCAUGUAUCUAAUGCCCUUUGCUCAGUGCUGGGCACACAGUCAAUGCGCAUUGAAUCUUAGCUAUUGCUACCUUUACAAUCAAUCAAAAGUCACUUCUGAAGAAUAGACAGGGCUCCCCCAGGCCAAAUAAAUAAUUCCUCCCGGGACAAACCCCAGCUCUCACUCCCUCCUCUUUAGGCAGGGGGCUCCCUGAAGGACAGAGACCCGGUUUUAUUCCAUCUUGCCGUCCCCCAUGGUGCCGGGCAUACAGUGGUGCCCAGUAAACGUGUGUGUUGCACAAACAUGCGGUAACUAGGGCCCCAUCUUUUUCAAAAGAACACACUCCCCAGGUGCAGCCGCAAAGAGAGACUGUUCAGCUGUUCAGGUGAGGUUUUGGGGUGAAACUCGUCUGAAUAAUAGUUUUACUGAACACAGCCUCACCCCCAACAAGGAGGCAAUUUGAGGUGGGGGUGGGGAGACUUAAAUGUGGGCUCCCGGGUUUUAAAGGGGGUAGCGCGGGAGGAAGCCCCCCAAUAAUUGCGGGGCUUCCCCCACCCCCAGAGCUGGAUUAGAGGCUGCGCCACUUCCUUUGGGGCUCGCUCGCGCUUCCUGGGAGCCUUUGAUGUGGGUUCUUGGUAGAUCCUGCCCGCGGGGCCUGGAUGCGGGCGGAGCCUCCGGGCAGGGCGGGGCCUCAGCCUGGGUCCGCACUGGGGAGGCGGCCACCCGGUAGCUUGGGCGGGUUCCGCCCACCUCCCGCCUGUAUUUACAGCCCCCUUCCAACAUCCCCGACUCCCUGAGGGCGCCCCUCAUUCUGCUCGGCCUUGCCUUCCCCAUUCGGCCACAUCCUCCUCUCUCCCAACUCAGCUUCGACCCCCAAAGCCUUUCCCUAACCAUCGGAACCACAGGCUUUUCUCCGGCCUCUGAGUGCCAGUCUUCAACUAGGUGUCUUUUAAAAAAUCAAAAAGCAUCUCAUCCUACGGGAUGUGUGUGAAAAAAUAAAAAUAAAAUAAAGAAAAAGGGGGCCGGGCGCGGGAGCUCACGCCUGUAAUCCCAGCACUUUGGGAGGCCUAGGCGGGCGGAUCACCUGCAGUCAGGAGUUCGAGACCAGCUUGACCAAACUAGAGAAACUCCGUCUCUACUGAAAAUACGAAAUUAGCCGCGCAUGGUGGCGCAUGUCUGUAAUCCUAGCUACUCUGGAGGCUGAGGCAGGGGAAUCUCUUGAACCUGGGAGGUGGAGGUUGCAGUGAGCCGAGAUAGCGUCAUUGCACUCUUGCCUGGGCAAUAACAAGAGCGAAGCUCCAUCUCCAAAAAAAAAAAAAGAAGAAAGAAAAAAAGAAAAAGAUAGCCCAUCGCUCCUCCAUUGCAGACCCAAAGGCUGUCAGCUGAAUGGAAGGUGCUUCCUCACGACCUUUGGGAUAAGUAAAUUUGAAGUAAUAGAAAUAGCCAGCUGGGCGCGGUGGCUCAUGCCUGUAAUCCCAGCACUUUGGGAGGCUGAGGGGGGCAGAUCACCUGAAGUUAGGAGCUCGAGACCAGUCUGGCCAACAUGGUGAAACCCCGUCUCUACUAAAAAUAAUUAGCCAGGCGAGGUGGCGUGCACCUGUAAUCCCAGCUACUCAAGGAGGCUGAGGCAGGAGAAUAGCUUGAACCCGGGAGGCAGAGUUUGCAGUGAGCUGAGAUCGCGCCAUUGCACUCCAGUGAGCCGAGAUCGCACCAUUGCACUCCAGCCUGGGCAACAAGAGCGAAACUCCAUCUCAAAAAAAAAAUUUUUUUUGAAAAAUAGGCCAGGCCUGCCUCAGUGCUCUUACACGUACUGUCCCCUCUGCCUGGAUCAGUUUGUGCCCCUGCCCCCAAAUUUUCAGGGCUGGCUCCCUCGCCUCCUUCAGAUCUCUGUUUGAAGUUCAGCUCAUGUCUGCCACAUGUCCUAACCACCGUAUUUAAAAUAGCAGCCUCAGGCCAGGUGCGGUGGCUCACGUCUGUAAUCCCAGCACUUUGGGAGGCCAAAGCAGGCAGAUCACCUGAGGUUGGGAGUUCGAGACCAGCCUGACCAACGUGGAGAAACCACAUCUCUACUAAAAAUACAAAAUUAGCCGGGCGUGGUGGAGCAUGCCUGUAAUCCCAGCGACUCUGUCUCAAAAUAAAAUAAAAUAAAAUAAAUAAAAUAAAAUAAAAUAAAAUAAAAUAAAAUAUAAAAUAAAAUAAAAUAAAAUAAAAUAUAGCAGCCUCUCACCCCACUCCACCUCUGGACUCCCUGUCCCCCUUCCUUGCUGUAUUUUUCUCCAUAGCAAUUACCACCACCAGCUGCCACACUCCAGAGAUUACCGUUCGUUUGUCUAUUGUCUGUCUCCCCCUGCUCACACCACCCCCAUUCGUGUGUGAGCUCCAGGAGAAGGGCCGGGGUUGCUGCUGCUCUUGCAUUGAGAGAUGACAGUAGCUCGGCCUCUUAGAGCAGUAUGACGAUGGCACAAGUUACUAUUUGCCAAGCACAGAGCAUGACGUCAUGCCCAGAAGCCCAGGAUACAAUCCAGAGACAAUGACAAAUGGGGGAUUCCCGCUUCUGCAGAAGGUGGGGCGACUGGUGCCCAGGGGCCCCCAGGAAGUGCCCUUACCUGACUCCCAGGAUCCUCCUCUGUGACCCUGGGGCCUUCCAACCUGCCAGGUACUUUUCCUGUAUUAUCUUAUUUUAUCCUCCCAAUAGCCUCUGUGAGCAGCACACUCCCCAUUUCACAGACAAGGAAACUGAGGCUUACACAAGUGAAGUGACCUGCUCGACGUUGCACAAGGAAGUGGCAAAGUCAGCCUCUGAAUCCAAGCCGUUGGGCUCUAAAGGCCCUGAUGCCACUCAGCUAACCAUGUGGCCUCUGGACAUCACUGCCAUCUUUUCUCUUACCCUCCUCUCCUCCUUGCACUGUGUUCUGAGGGUCAGCCUGACAACCCGUGUCCCCUGGGCAGAUGUGCAGAGGAAGAUCAAGUUGUUGUUCGCCAGGGGCCGAGGGCAAAUUUCUGGCUUCCCACGGCCACCACUUACUGGGAGUUUCGGAUGAGGUGCUUCACUGCCCUGAGCUCUUCUUCCGGGUCAAGUGGGGAUAAAAAUAAAACAAUACCCACCUUGUGGGAAGACAUGGGAUCCUGAAAAACCUGGCAACGUGCCUGGCACAUGGCAAGUACUCCGUAAAUGUCAGCUAGGAUUAUUUUUAUCAUUGACACCAUAUUUGGGGGCCCCAGGCUGGCAGAGUACCUGCCAGGUGUCACCCCCUUCCUGAGUCCUGACAGUUUGGCUGCAGGCCUGCGUGGAGGCUUGGAAGGAAGAAGGGAGGAAAGGAGGAAAGGAGGAAAGGAGGAAGGGGUCAGGGAAGCCCCUCUGUUUGUUUUCUGUCUCUGAGAACUUCCCAGUCUGACUCUAGCCCCUUCCCCUCCCUGCAGGCACUAACACACAAGUCCCCCAUUCACCAGAAAUCUGUCCCAGGCUCCCUGGCUGCCAUGCUCCCUGGAUAAACCCACCAGGAUGCCCUCAGCCCCUGAGGGAAGAGGAGAGAGCUUACACUCCUCCGGGCCCCUAUUUCCACGCCCAUCACCAGGCCUGGGCCCUCACAAGGCUACACACACACCAGGAAGUGCCAGGAACACAGCCACGCCAGAGCUCUCACAGAUGCCUGUGCACACACACACACACACACACACACCUUUCCAGGCAAACUUGCAUACACUUUCCUAAUGGCCAGGUCUCAGGGGCUCUGUAGGGACCACCUCGGGACAGGACAUGGUCUUCCCUCCCCCAUUCCCAUUCCCCUUCCUGCCCUGUUUCCCUCUGUCUGUCCAUCCAUCUUCAUCAACCAGUCCCAGUGGGCCCCUGCUCACUCCCUCCGUUCCCCCUCCAUCCGUCCGUCCACACAUGGGUCCAUCUGUCUGUCGCCUGCCUGUAGCUAGCCCUGCAGUGAGCAGUCUAUCCCUACCCAGCCCUGCCCAUCACUUCUGCCACAACACCCCUGCAAGAUCCUGUCCCUGUCCUCAGCAGGGUCUCUCAUCAUUUCUCUAGAACCCACCCAUCUAUCCCCCCACCCCUUCAGCUGUGUCCUUCAUCUGUCAAUCUGUCCAUCCAUCCAGCCAUCCAUCCAUCCAUCCAUCCAUCCAUCCAUCCAUCCAGCCAUCCAUCCAUCCAUCCAGCCAUCCAUCCAUCCAUCCAGCCAUCCAUCCUUCCUUCCUUCCUUCUUCCUUCCUUCCCACCUUGGCCCAGCCCCUCUCAGCCCCCUCUGCAUCCCAUCCAUCACUUCUCAGACAGGCCUCCCCAGCCAGGUAGUCACCUCCUAGCGGCUCCAUCUGUCUGUCUGUCUACCAACCCAUCCAUCCAUCUGUCUGCCAGCCCAUCCAUCAUGCCACAGGCCACUUGUCCAUUCUUGCCACCUUUCACAUGUUCCCUAGUUAGGCCCCUGUGGUAUCCCCCAGCCAGCGCAGUGUAGGUGGGGGGCGUGUGUUCAUGUCAGUAGAUAUGUCUGUGGCCGCCAGCAUGCCUUGUGCUGAGCAGAGGGCAAGGGACCUGGAUGAGGAGCUGGGGAGGGGUUGGGGACAGGAAGACUGGGAACCUCUUGGUGGGGGGCACAGCAGCUUCCCUGUGUAUUCUCCCUGUGGUCUGUUGCACCAUAGGCAUCAAUGGCCUGCUCAAAAAUAAAUACACGACUGGAAAACUCUCCCACCUCCAUUCUUUUUCCUUUUUGGGGGGGUGGUGGGGACAGAGUCUUGCUUUGUCCUCCAGGCUGGAGUGCAGUGGCACGAUCUCAGCCCACUGCAACCUCCACCUCCUGAGUUCAAGCAGUUCUCCUGUCUCAGCCUCCCAAGUUGCUGGGAUUACAGGCCUGCGCCACCACGCCUGGCUAAUUUUUGUUUUUUGGUUUUGUUUUUUCUUUUCCGGGAUGGAGUCUUGCUCUGUCACCCAGGCUGGAGUGCAAUGGCCGGAUCUUGGCUCACUACAACCUCCGCCUCCCGGAUUCAAGUGAUUCUCCUGCCUCAGCCUCCCAAGUAGCUGGUAUUACAGGCACGCGCCACCACGCCUGGUUAAUUUUUGUAUUUUUAGCAGAGAUGGGGUUUCACCAUUUUGGCCAGGCUGGUCUCGAACUCCUGACCUCAGGUGAUCCACCUGCCUCUGCCUCCCAAAAUGCUGGGAUUACCGGCAUGAGCCACUGUGCCCGGCUUCCGUUCUUCCUGAUUACUUAAGAGGGGCCUGACUAAUGCCCAGCAUGGUUGGGGACCCAGGCCCCUCAAGCCCUGGAAGUCCCUUGCCUGGGGUCAUCCAGUCUCCUCCCUCAAAGGGCUCUCACUCCCCACCGCCGCUCCCUCUCCUCUUCCUGCUGCUGAGAGACGAGAGACCAGCAGAAAGAGACUUGGAGAGACGGAGACACAGAGGCAGAUGGAGAAUGCUGGGCGCCCGGGAAAGCCCAGGAAGGAGCCCGGGCCACGUGGAGGAGAGGCAGGUGGGAGGAGGCAGGAGAGAGCAAGGCUGCCCAGGACAAUGGAGCGGGACCGGAGGAGACGCGGGGAGGGACGCGGGCCAGGGGUGCGGUGGGGGGCACGGGGUGGAACUCCGGGUCCCGUAGGGCGGGGUGGGGGAGUGGGUGGGGGGAUGGCCCACCUGCCGUGGGAGCGGGUCCGGAGGAAGCUAGGGUCUCGGGGUGGGAAGUGCUGUGUAGAAGCGAGCGCAAGAGGCGAGAGGAAGCGCGGCGGGGCGGCCCCUGUCCCAGCCUCACCCCCAUCCCCCCAAGUCUCGCACCCCGGUCCGCCCCAGCUUCCGGCUCCGCAGGUGCCGCCUUUGAGGGCCGCCGCUCGCAGUUUACCGCGGAGCCGGAGCCAGAGCCCCUUCCCCGCGGCGAGGAACUGCCUCUGCGUCUCGUAAAAGGGGUCUGGGCCUGGGGGGCGGCGGCCUCCGUCGCCAUGGAAACCGGGGCGGGGAGGCGGCGGCCCGGAGAGCCCCAUGCACUUUGCAUACCAUUGCAGGUUCCUCCCCUUGGGCCCCGCCAGCCUCGCUGGGCCCGCCUCUCUCUCCGCCCCUCCUCCCCAAACCCAUCACCCUUGCCUUUAUUUGUCUUAAAUUUAUUUUAAAAUGUAUUUAUUUAUUUUUUUCAAACAGGAUCUCGCUCUGUCACCCAGGCCAGAGUGCAGUGGUGCGAUCAUGACUCUCUACAGCCUUCCAUCUCCCCAGGCUCAGGUGAUCCUCCCACCCCAGUUUCCCAAUAGCUGGGACCACCACGCCUGGCUAAUUUUGUGUGUGUGUGUGGUGAUGUCGCCCUCUGUCACCCAGGCUGGAGUGCCGUGGCCAGAUCUUGGCCCACUGCAACCUCCGCCUCCCAGGUUCAAGCAAUUCUCCUGCCUUAGCCUCCUGAGUAGCUGGGAUUACAGGCGCGUGCCAUCACACCCGGCUAAUUUUUUUGGUAUUUUUAGUAGAGACGGGGUUUCACCACGUUGACCAGGCUGAUCUCAAACUCCUGACCUCGUGAUCUGCCUGCCUCAGCCUCCCAAAGUGCUGAGAUUACAGGCGUGAGCCACCGUGCCUGGCAAUGCCCGGCAAUUUUUGUAUUAUAGAGACAGGGUCUUGCCAUGUUGCCCAGGCUGGUGUUAAACUCCUGGACUCAAACAACCUGCCCACCUCCGCCUCCCAAAGUGUUAGGAUUACAGGCAUGAGCCACUGCACUCGGCCACCCCUGCCUUUAAAAGUCACCUCCUCCAGGAAGCUUUCAGCCACCACCACCACGCCCGGUGGCACCACUGACACUUCAUAACAAUAAUAAUUCAUCAUCACUGUGAUCGUGGCUAGGCUUGGCUGAGCUUUGUCUCUGUGCUUCCUUCACCCCCAUCUUCUUCUGUCCUCAUACCAACCCUGUAUGGAGAGGCCACUUUUGUCGAUAUUUACAAAUGAGAAAACUAAAGCUGGUAGGGGGUCUGCUCAAGGUCUCACACCUGGAAAAUUCCCUCCUCAUUCUAGUCUCAGUGUUCUCAUUUGUAAAAAGGGAAGCUCGCACCAGGCGCUUGCCGAGUGACCACGCAAGGGUGGGAAUGAGACCGCAGGUUUGUCUGAGCAGGGGCUGAGUGUGGCAUUCUGACUCUGAAGGCCUGUAGUCAGGGUAUGCAUGCUCUAGUUCACCUCAGCCCGGCUGCGUCACACCCCCACUCUGUCCCCCAGUGCAUCCCCACCCUUGGGACCCUAAGUGAAUCUCUCCAGACCAAGCUCCUAGUGACUCAAGAGACAUCUCUAAGGGGUCUUCCAGCUCUGCCAUUCUGAAGUCUUAGCUUAUUGAGAGGGUGACUCCUUGUGCUGUCUCCCUCCUCUGACUGGAUGCUCCUGGGGGUGAGGGGCUGUGCCUCUCCUGUCAGACGGGACACUGCUAAGGGUUAGGACACCUCUGUCACUCCCCUAGGUCUGUGGUCACUAGAAAUGCCCAAAUCCAGGCUGAAGGCUGACCAUGUCUCUCCAAGCACAAGCACACCCCAAGGUGCCCCAGUCCCUUGUCCUGAUCCUGAGAUCUGAGGUCUACAGGACUGGGUUCUUGGUGGGGAAACCUCCAGCUCUGCCAUAAAAAGAAAGCCUCAUCCCAGACCUUCAGACCCGUUCCAGCACAGGCUCAGAAGAGGAGAAAUGGGCCCAGAGACAACUUCCAGGG